Molecule: long non-coding RNA, 96 nt
Organism: Sander lucioperca (pikeperch)
Lineage: Eukaryota; Metazoa; Chordata; Actinopteri; Perciformes; Percidae
Exons: 3
Source: RefSeq, a predicted model, not a curated record
GACUGUAUAUAUAGUUAGAGGUCGAACUAGAGUAAACACUGGCAUAGCUUUUCAGCGAUGGCGACAGCUGAGGGCGCUGAAAAGCAUGAAAAAUGA